RNAcentral lists this ribosomal RNA (279 nucleotides) under uncultured bacterium. RNAcentral's name for it is "partial 16S ribosomal RNA". It matches the Rfam family "Bacterial small subunit ribosomal RNA", at positions 506 to 784 of the family's 1533-position model. The record is from RNAcentral.
UGCCAGCAGCCGCGGUAAUACGGAGGGUGCAAACGUUGCUCGGAAUUAUUGGGCGUAAAGCGCGUGUAGGCGGCUUGUUAAGUCGGAUGUGAAAGCCCUGGGCUCAACCCAGGAAGUGCGUUCGAUACUGGCGAGCUUGAGUACGGGAGAGGGUAGCGGAAUUCCCGGUGUAGAGGUGAAAUUCGUAGAUAUCGGGAGGAACACCAGUGGCGAAGGCGGCUACCUGGACCGAUACUGACGCUGAGACGCGAAAGCGUGGGGAGCAAACAGGAUUAGAUA